Molecule: ribosomal RNA, 429 nt
Filed under: Pseudomonadota bacterium
Lineage: Bacteria; Pseudomonadati; Pseudomonadota
Description: Proteobacteria bacterium partial 16S ribosomal RNA
Rfam family: Bacterial small subunit ribosomal RNA
Source: RNAcentral
UGGGGAAUAUUGGACAAUGGGCGAAAGCCUGAUCCAGCCAUGCCGCGUGUGUGAAGAAGGUCUUCGGAUUGUAAAGCUCUUUAAGUUGGGAGGAAGGGCAGUAAGCGAAUACCUUGCUGUUUUGACGUUACCGACAGAAUAAGCACCGGCUAAAUCUGUGCCAGCAGCCGCGGUAAUACAGAGGGUGCAAGCGUUAAGCGGAAUUACUGGGCGUAAAGCGCGCGUAGGUGGUUCGGUAAGUGGAAUGUGAAAGCCCCGUGCUCAACCUAGGAACUGCAGCCCAAACUGUCGAGCUAGAGCAGGGCAGAGGGUGGUGUAAUUUCCUGUGUGACGGUGAAAUACGUAGAUAUAGGAAUGAACACCAGUGGCGAAGGCGACCACCUGGGCUCAUACUGACACUGAGGUGCGAAAGCGUGGGGAGCUAACAGG